Molecule: ribosomal RNA, 433 nt
Filed under: uncultured bacterium
Lineage: Bacteria
Description: partial 16S ribosomal RNA
Rfam family: Bacterial small subunit ribosomal RNA
Source: RNAcentral
AACGGACGCUGGCGGCAUGCCUAACACAUGCAAGUCGAACGAGACCUUCGGGUCUAGUGGCGCACGGGUGCGUAACGCGUGGGAACCUGCCCUUAGGUUCGGAAUAACUCCCCGAAAGGGGUGCUAAUACCGGAUAAUGUCUUCGGACCAAAGAUUUAUCGCCUUUGGAUGGGCCCGCAUUGGAUUAGCUAGUUGGUAGGGUAAAAGCCUACCAAGGCGACGAUCCAUAGCUGGUCUGAGAGGAUGAUCAGCCACACUGGGACUGAGACACGGCCCAGACUCCUACGGGAGGCAGCAGUGGGGAAUAUUGGACAAUGGGCGAAAGCCUGAUCCAGCAAUGCCGCGUGAGUGAUGAAGGCCUUAGGGUUGUAAAGCUCUUUUACCCGGGAUGAUAAUGACAGUACCGGGAGAAUAAGCUCCGGCUAACUCCGUG